Molecule: microRNA precursor, 196 nt
Organism: Oryza sativa Japonica Group (Japanese rice)
Lineage: Eukaryota; Viridiplantae; Streptophyta; Magnoliopsida; Poales; Poaceae
Rfam family: MIR812 microRNA precursor family
Source: Rfam
AAUACCAUGGUUUUCCGCGUCCAACUUUAACCAUUUGUCUUAUUUAAAAAAAUUUAAAAAAAUUAAAAACAUAAGUCACGAGUAAAGUACUAUUCAUGUUUUAUCAUCUUAUAACAAUAAAAAUAUUAAUUAUAAAAAAAUUUCAAAUAAAACAGACUAUCAAAGUUGGACACGGAAACUUAUGGCUGCAUUUAUU